GGGGAAUAUUGGACAAUGGGGGGAACCCUGAUCCAGCCAUGCCGCGUGUGUGAAGAAGGCCUUAUGGUUGUAAAGCACUUUAAGCGAGGAGGAGGCUCCCGUAGCUAAUACCCAAGGUGAGUGGACGUUACUCGCAGAAUAAGCACCGGCUAACUCUGUGCCAGCAGCCGCGGUAAUACAGAGGGUGCGAGCGUUAAUCGGAUUUACUGGGCGUAAAGCGUACGUAGGCGGCUUUUUAAGUCGGAUGUGAAAUCCCCGAGCUUAACUUGGGAAUUGCAUUCGAUACUGGGAAGCUAGAGUAUGGGAGAGGAUGGUAGAAUUCCAGGUGUAGCGGUGAAAUGCGUAGAGAUCUGGAGGAAUACCGAUGGCGAAGGCAGCCAUCUGGCCUAAUACUGACGCUGAGGGACGAAAGCAUGGGGAGCAAAC
RNAcentral lists this ribosomal RNA (426 nucleotides) under uncultured bacterium. RNAcentral describes it as "bacterial SSU rRNA". It matches the Rfam family "Bacterial small subunit ribosomal RNA", at positions 356 to 773 of the family's 1533-position model. The record is from RNAcentral.